This 525-nucleotide ribosomal RNA is filed under the name uncultured eukaryote. RNAcentral describes it as "SSU rRNA". It matches the Rfam family "Eukaryotic small subunit ribosomal RNA", at positions 21 to 549 of the family's 1831-position model. The record is from RNAcentral.
UAGUCAUAUGCUUGUCUCAAAGAUUAAGCCCUGUUUGUCUAAGUAUAAGCAAUCUAUACGGUGAAACUGCGAAUGGCUCAUUAAAUCAGUUAUCGUUUAUUUGAUAGUACCUUACUACUUGGAUAACCGUGGUAAUUCUAGAGCUAAUACAUGCUAAAAACCCCGACUUCGGAAGGGGUGUAUUUAUUAAAUAAAAAACCAAUGCCCUUCGGGGCUCCUUGGUGAUUCAUAAUAACUUAACAAAUCGCAUGGCCUUGUGCCGGCGAUGGUUCAUUCAAAUUUCUGCCCUAUCAACUUUCGAUUGUAAGGUAGUGGCUUACAAUGGUUUCAACGGGUAACGGGAAAUUAGGGUUCUAUUCCGGAGAGGGAGCCUGAGAAACGGCUACCACAUCCAAGGAAGGCAGCAGGCGCGCAAAUUACCCAAUCCCGACACGGGGAGGUAGUGACAAUAAAUACUGAUACAGGGCUCUUUUGGGUCUUGUAAUUGGAAUGAGUACAAUUUAAAUCCCUUAACGAGGAACAAUU